AGGAGUAAUAGGAGCUAAUAAUAUCCAACCAUCAAACCAGCAGAAUCUAAUAGGAUAUGAGUUGAUAUCAAAUGCAGAGUUUACAUUUUCACCGUGGACACCUUUUCCUACCAAGAG
This is a long non-coding RNA of Zea mays, 117 nucleotides long. RefSeq lists it as uncharacterized. The transcript is spliced from 2 exons. NCBI's taxonomy places the organism in Eukaryota, Viridiplantae, Streptophyta, Magnoliopsida, Poales, Poaceae. The record is from RefSeq and is a predicted model, not a curated record.